This is a long non-coding RNA of Lutra lutra (Eurasian river otter), 424 nucleotides long. RefSeq lists it as uncharacterized. The transcript has 3 exons. The record is from RefSeq and is a predicted model, not a curated record. NCBI's taxonomy places the organism in Eukaryota, Metazoa, Chordata, Mammalia, Carnivora, Mustelidae.
AGGGGGAGGAGGCGGCGUCCCGCACUGUCUCACCGCAGGACCGACCUCGGCGCUUAUCUGCUCGGGCAGCUUCCGCCCCCCCAGCCCAGCCCCCCGCCGCAAGCCGGGCCCCCGCCCCCCGCCUCCGGAGCGCCCGCAGGGGGGGGCGGGGAGGGGCCCUCCCCCGUCGCCCGCCCCCAGGGAGCGCCGAGCCGCAGCGGGCCGCUGCCCGGCCGAGCGGAGAGGGGCCCGGCCCCCAGAAGAGGAAGCACAAGUGUUCGGUGACCGUCUGAGGGAUGCUCCCGCUCAUUGGUGUUGAAGGAACCACAAGGACGACCAGGAGGUUGCUGCCCGCCAGUGGACUCCAUGGAAAGCCCUGAGAAGGAGGCCCACAUUCUGGAAGCAGAGAAAAUGUGCAUCAACCCCCAGCCUAGUGCAUCUAGCA